Molecule: ribosomal RNA, 271 nt
Filed under: uncultured bacterium
Lineage: Bacteria
Description: partial 16S ribosomal RNA
Rfam family: Bacterial small subunit ribosomal RNA
Source: RNAcentral
UACGUAGGGUGCGAGCGUUAAUCGGAAUUACUGGGCGUAAAGCGUGCGCAGGCGGCUUUGCAAGACAGAUGUGAAAUCCCCGGGCUCAACCUGGGAACUGCAUUUGUGACUGCAAGGCUAGAGUACGGCAGAGGGGGAUGGAAUUCCGCGUGUAGCAGUGAAAUGCGUAGAGAUGCGGAGGAACACCGAUGGCGAAGGCAGCCCCCUGGGAUAACACUGACGCUCAUGCACGAAAGCGUGGGGAGCAAACAGGAUUAGAAACCCUGGUAGU